This 2683-nucleotide long non-coding RNA is filed under the name Homo sapiens (human). Its description in RNAcentral is "HSALNT0338904". The record is from RNAcentral. Lineage: Eukaryota; Metazoa; Chordata; Mammalia; Primates; Hominidae.
CGCGCAGGCGCAGCCGGGCGGGCGAGGAGCGGGGAAGCUGACUCAGGGCUGCGGCCGGGGUCCUGCGGGGUAGGAGCGCGAGGCCGGCCUGAGGGAGGAGGCCUAGCGACCCAUCCGGCGCCUCCCGCCCCGGGCACCCGCCCGCGGCCGCGCAUCCUGCGGGCCCCAGGAGGCCUCCAUCUCAAAACAACGUGUUUUUAGAGAACUCAAGGGCUGUGAAAAGAGCAGGACCUCACCAGCUGCACGGCGGUGGUGACUGGCUCCAUCUUGCUGUCCCUCCCAAUCACACAACAUCUCCCCUUGAAGGCUCUGCCCAGGCCCGGACUCCCACCUUUCAAGAUGUCUGGAUCAGUGCAGGACCUCCUCCUUGGCCACAUCGCUCUCCUUGGACUGGAAGAGAUGGGGUUUCAUCAUGUUAGCCAGGCUGGUCAGGUGAUCCAUCCGCCUUGGCCUCCCCAAGUGCUGGGAUUACAGGCGUGAGGCACUGUGCCCGGCCUGCCCCCCUUUUCUCUUGAUGUAAGUGGACAUUUUAAUCCAUAAUCUGUAACAUUUAUGUAUUAAGUUUACUACUAUCUUUGGUUUGCAGUGUUGACUCACCUGUGGAGUGGUCUGAGCCUGAAUGCCCGGGGCUGUGGCCACCGAGUGAACGGGCUGUGCUAAGGGGAAUUGCCACCUUGGGAAACCUGUGUAGUUGCGGCUUUUCUGAUUAAGUAUCAAUAAAAGUCUGACCUUGUGAAAAAAGCAAACGUGAGUGGCCCUGCUUAUGUUUCACCUUGCGUUGCUCAGUGAUAGUUCUGCAAAGUCGCAGGAAACCUGGAAUCAUCUAAUUAUCGUGAGUGUUGGCACAUGACAGCCUUCUUGCAAUCAAGAAACUACGUGUGGCCAGGAUCUCAUCCACUAUCACAGUUUCAGCUUUCCCCAAACUGGAAUGUGUCUUUGCAGACGCCCAUCCUUAUUAAAGGGCAAAGACUUCUCAUACACCUAGGAUGGAUCUUAUAUUCUUGGCGGGACUGCAGAGAAGGUGCCGUGUCCUGAGUCCUCAUGUCAGGGCACAGGCUUCCAGCCAGUUCUACCUGGGUUAUGUUUAUCUCAAUUCCCUGGUGGUAUUGGUGUCUGCUGGGUUUUGCCAGAAUGAAGACACCGUGUUUUCAUUUGUCAGUUGAUUCGUAUUUUCCAGGAAGACAUUCUGAGAUUACAGCAUUGUCUUAGUCAAGGUGCUGCAGAAGGACAGAACUAAUAGGAUAUAUGUACAUAUGAAAGAAAGUUUAUGAAGAACUGGCUCACACCAUCACAAGGCAAAGUCCCAUGACAGGCCAUCUGCAAGCUGAGGAGCGAGGAAGCCAGCAGUGGCUCAGCCGGAGUCCAACAGCCUCAAACGGAAUCCAACAGUUCAGGCUUCAGUCUGUGGCCAAAUGCCCAGAGACCCCGGAAAGCUACUGGUGUUAGUCCCAGAGCCGGAAGGCCAAAGAACCUGGAGUGUGAUGUCCAAGGGCAGGAGGAAUGGACAGAAGCAUCCAGCAUGGGGUAAAGACGAAAGCCAGAAGACUCAGCAAGCUAGCUUACCUACUUUCUUCUGCCUGCCUUGUUCUAGCCGCGCUGGCAGCCGGUUGGAGGGUGCCCACCCCCACUGAGGGUGGAUCUUCCUCUCCUAGUCCACUGACUCAAAUUUCAGUCUCUCUGGGAGCACCAUCACACCAGAAACAAUACCAGCCAUCUAGCCACCCUUCAGUUCACCAUCACAACCAUUGUCUUAUUCAUGAAACUUCUGCAGACCCACCUUAACCUCCAUCGGUGACUUCUACCUGAAGCCCUCUGAUUGUUGCCCAGUGGUGCUUUUUAAAAUAAUUUCCAUAGUUUCUUCUACACCUUUAGUUGGCAUUCUACUGUAAAGGAGAGAUUUUAUUUUCUUACUCAUUUAUUUGUUAGUUUAUAGUCACCACCAUAUGGAUGCAGAGUUCUGUCUCAUUCACUGGGAAGUAUUCUAUUGCAGUCAUGAUUUAUUUUGAUGUUCACAUCCCAGAGUUGGUGAGUGAGCGCCCCUUCACGCUGGCUCCCGAGUGCUGACGUGUCCCCGUCCUUCUCUGCACUUUUCCUUACCUCCUGGCCUCAGAUAUUCCAGGGUCAUUUGUUCUCUCCCUGCUCCAACCCUGCAGUCAGCCAUCUCCCUAGGGACGUUGGUUCCUUUAUGGAAGGUGGCAUUUAGAAGCCAGGAUUUGGGCUGAGCACUGUGGCUCAUGCUUGUAAUCCCAGCACUUGGGGAGGCCGAAGUGGGCGGAUCGCUGGAGGCCAAGAGUCUGAGACCAGCCUGGCUAACAUGGUGAAACCCUUCCCCGUCUCUACUACAAAUAAAAAAUUAGCUGGGUGUGUUGGCACGUGCCUGUAAUCCCAGUUACUCAGGAGGCUGAAGCACCAGAAUCUCUUGAACCCAGGAGGCCGAGGUUGCAGUGAGCCAAGAUUGCACCACUGCACUACAGCUUGGGUGACAGCGCGAGACACCGUCUCAAAAAGGAUAAUAAUUUAAAAAACAGCAGGAUUUGGGUGAGCAGUGCGCUCAUUGCUUCUGGGCUCUCUCGGUGGACAUAGGCUAGGAAUGUAAGAUGUAUGUGCCUGUGUAUAUACACACGUCUGUAGCUAUGUCUAUGUUGCAUACAUGUGUUUUUCCAAAAACCAAAUCCAUAACCAU